Molecule: long non-coding RNA, 578 nt
Organism: Amphiprion ocellaris (clown anemonefish)
Lineage: Eukaryota; Metazoa; Chordata; Actinopteri; Pomacentridae
Source: Ensembl
AGAACUUCCUGCCACAGCAGAUUCACACUGACACUAUUCCUCCUACACAGAUACUGCAGUAUGUUGUACAUCCCUGAUCCUCAGUGUCAACAUUUCCUGAUCACAGAGUUCAGUAACACCAAUGUGACCAUCAGCCCACCACUGCUCACCUGCUGCACGCAGCUUUAUAACAGUGUGACAGUGUAUGAGCCAUGGAACGUGACGGCCGGGGAGGGAUUCAGUCAGAGUAGUCUGCAAGGCUGCUGCACACUCACACCGCCUAAACAUUUCAACUGCAGCUGGGUGCUGUGAGUCAACGGGAACAAAAACACACACCUCAAUGCCAGAAACACGUGUUGAUUUGUAAAAUUAAUGUGCAUUGUUAAUUGCUUUUUAAAUGAAGCUCUCCUUCACUGGUUCUGUACAAAAAGAAAAUUGUGCCACACACAGAAAGUAUGUUUUUGCAUGUGUGUCAAUUAUUAUUUACAUUUACAGCAGCAUAUAAAGUAAAUACAAUUAACUGUAACUGUAUGUUAUGUUAUUAACUGUAAUGUAUAAUCCAAUUAUAAAAAAAAUAUAUUCUUCUCAAGAAAAUAUCC